Molecule: small RNA, 28 nt
Filed under: Bombyx mori (domestic silkworm)
Lineage: Eukaryota; Metazoa; Arthropoda; Insecta; Lepidoptera; Bombycidae
Description: ovarian small RNA-18381
Source: RNAcentral
UAAAGUAAGGCCAACCAGACGAGAUAAA